UGGACUUACUCACUCUCUUGAAGGAUUGUC
This 30-nucleotide non-coding RNA is filed under the name Rattus norvegicus (Norway rat). The record is from RNAcentral. Lineage: Eukaryota; Metazoa; Chordata; Mammalia; Rodentia; Muridae.